This 460-nucleotide ribosomal RNA is filed under the name uncultured bacterium. RNAcentral's name for it is "partial 16S ribosomal RNA". It matches the Rfam family "Bacterial small subunit ribosomal RNA", at positions 338 to 795 of the family's 1533-position model. The record is from RNAcentral.
CCUACGGGAGGCAGCAGUGAGGAAUAUUGGUCAAUGGACGAGAGUCUGAACCAGCCAAGUAGCGUGAAGGAUGACGGCCCUAUGGGGUGUAAACUUCAUUUAGAAAGGAAUAAAACGAGGCACGUGUGCCGUUGUGCAGGUACUUUAUGAAUAAGGAUCGGCAAAAUCCGUGCCACCAGCCGCGGUAAUACGGAGGAUCCGAGCGGUAUCAUGAUUUAUUGGGUUUAAAGGGAGCGUAGGUGGGUUGUUAAGUCAGUUGUGAAAGUUUGCGGCGCAACCGUAAAAUUGCAAUUGAUACUGGCAGUCUUGAGUACAGUUGAGGUAGGCGGAAUUCGUGGUGUAGCGGUGAAAUGCUUAGAUAUCACGAAGAACCCCGAUUGCGAAGGCAGCUUACUAAACUGUGACUGACAUUGAUGCUCGAAAGUGUGGGUAUCAAACAGGAUUAGAUACCCCAGUAGUC